ACGGAGGGUGGACUAUAUAAGAAUCAACGAAGCUGUCACUAUCGCGAACUACCACACGACUCGGCCAAUAGGAUACAUUUGCAGAUAAAUAACAUCUAAGCACCACGCUCACAUGUAAUCUAUCACCUAACUCCCUCGCGUCAAGAGCUAAGCGCUUUGCAAACUUAUACAUAAACUCAUUAUCAAUUAGAACUAUAUCAAAUAUAGAACUAGAGCAAACUAAGAACAUAAUAAUUAGAGACAUAAUGCAAUUAGAACAAUAGAAUUAGAGAAAGAUAUGAAUAAUAACAAUCUUUAUUACCGAAGAUCCGAAUCCAGAGCGUAGUGCUCUACUUCUCUAAUUGCUAUCUAAUCAACCUCUAAACUUGAAGGAUUAGGGAGUAGCUAAUUCUAAUUCUCUGUGGGAGAGAAGCUCUAAACCCUAACUUUGAUGGCUACCUCUGAAUAAUGAUUUCUCCUCUCUCCUCCAGGGGCCAGGGGGUCUGGUUUUAUAGUCCCCUCAAGUGAACGUGAGCCAUUGGAUCAAACCGACAUAGAUUGUAUGGUUUAGAUUGAUCCUUUAGGUCGGUGGAGUCUUGCCCCGAAACAGAGUCCUGAUCCAACUCCUGGCCAGGGCGGGCGCCCAAGGGGGGUGGGCGGGCGCCCUGCCCCCGAGCCCGAAUUGCUUUCCGUUCGUUCCCGUGGCUUCUGGAUCCUUCUAGAUUGAGGAAAAUUGCACGGCACGUAAUUAUCUCGUUGUAAACAUGACAUGUGGGCCUUCUCUCCAUAUUUUCUGAUAAACCCCUGCAGAAAUAGAUAAACACCAAAACUCGUGGAAUUCUAUGAGAUAAAACCCUAAUUCUAGAUGUUUGUUUCAUAUUGAUCCUUUUUCAUGUUUAUUUGAUUAUUAAUUUUAGUACUUAAGGACCGUCAACAAACUCCCCCAAGCUUACCCUUUGCUCGUCCCUGAGCAAACAGCUAAACUCAUACGGAUCAGGAGUUGCUUCGAUGUUUUCUUUCCUGACAGGCACACAUGCUUUUACAUAAAAAUUCUUCCAGAUUAGAGUGAAGUGUUAUGGAGUUUAGUACCUGCACUUAAAUCUUAAGUAAUCGAAAGACAAAAUAGUUAAGUCAAGCACUAUCCCUCUUGUCUAUACUUCACCUUUGUUCCAGAGUUUUUCAUAAGUUUUCAAAAAUAAAACUCAGAGUUCCCAGCAAUGAUUCUCUCAAGUCUCUCUAUAUGUGGUAUUUGUGGAUCCUUACCAUGAUAUCACUUACCUAUAGCUAAUGGAAUAUUUAAGUGGAGCUCAUAGGAGUGAAAAACAGCUCAUACAUAUGUUGUCUAAUCGAGCCAUGGAUCCAAAGAAACUCAGCAUAUAAUUAAAUUAAGAUGUGCAUGUGUGAUGGAGUAAAUGAUAGUGAUGGUGAAGAUAUAUAAAUAAAACUUAGUUCUCAUUGUUCCUUAUAUUGCUAUCUCUCCUCUUCUUUGAUCUUUGCUUUUGGAGAACAUGGGCUAUCUUCUCUCUUUUUUUUCAGGUGGGUAGUAGAUACCCCUAAUUCUACUGUCGGACACUUGUCCAUUUUUUCCGCUCAAGUGGGCAUCUUUGUACCCCUAAUUCUACUUUGGACACUUGUCCAUUUUUACCUAUCGUCUCACUCUUUUUCUUUCUUUUUCGAGGUUCCGGGCACUUGCCCCUUUUUAUUUCCUCGUAUAUUUUUGCAUAACCCAUGCCUCUUCUGCAUUGAAUCUUUUUUUAGAGAGAGAGAGACAAUAACAAUAUUCGGGACAGUGAGUGAAAAUAUUUUUAGCAAUCUUUAAUGAUUGAUGAUGAAUGCUGUGGUAGAUGUGUGCAAGUGAAUAUCUUAAUUUAACCACAUGAAAAGCUCCUAAGGGUCUACACAGCUCGAUCAAACUCAAUGUGAAUAUAGUAAAAGAUGUUAUAGCAAGUAUGGCUGUGGUAGGUAGUUUUGUUAUGCUAGGAACUCAUCAUGUGAUUUGUAAGUUUUCAAAAUAAGUCUCUAGAACUUAGUGUAGUAGGAACAAGAUAAACAGUAGCUCAACUUUAUAUCAUGCCUUUCUCUUACCUAGGCUUUAGUUUUUAUGCUUCCCAAAGAUAGUAAUUUUAGUUUUAGUAAUUCCUGGAAGAACUCUAAUAUAAAAGCUAGGUACUUGUAAGUAAGCAAACAGAGCAACUGUUCAUCAUUUCCAUCAUGCAUCUUUUUGGUUAUUUAUAUUUUUUUUUAGAUAAAUUAAAUAGUAAAACAGAAUAGAAUAAAUAAGAAGAGCAAAUAGAAACUUACUUGAUAAAUUUGGGAGGAACUCCCCCAAGCUGGAUAUUGACGUCGGUCUUACCCGAUGUUCCAUAACCGCAUCAUGGUUGUGAUGUUGUCGUUCAUUGUUGUUGUAUCUUGUCUUAGCUCUUCUACUGCAGCGGCAUGGUCCUGGUUCCAUUUUUGUUGCUCUUCCAGGAGUCUUCCAUGUUCUGCUUGCGUGUUCUGGAUGUCGAGGAGGGUGUUGUCGGUACGAGUGAAGAAAGCACCGGCCUCUUGAUAGUAGUCAUUCGUGAAAGCAUAGGAGGCGUCGGAGUAUCGUCCUGCAUCAAAUUGGGGUGGAGGUCUGGAUCCUGAAGCUCCAUAUGGAUCAGUGGAGUACCUGCCCGUAUGAAAAGGCGGGUUUGUCCACUGGUGAUCUUGGCUCUCCGGCCAUGUCUCCUCUGUUGGCUCUUGUGGUUGCGCAUGACGAGCCCAUGGGUCUCGAAGGACUCGAGGGUUGUAAUCGCAAUAAUGCAGGUGCACUGCUUCUUCUUGUCCAGGGUCAGCUCCAUACCAAGUGCGUUCUCGGUGAGUGGUUAUCCUUUCAGAUGCCACUCACUGUGGAGUCCUCUGGUUCACUGGUGUUGCUGCAAUCUCAAUCAAAAAGUUUUGAACAACGUAGAGGCCAAGGUUCGGGUUAGGUAACCGAAUCUUGCCUUUAUCAUCAUAUAACAUAUACAUUAUAUUCCCCUCUUUCUUUAACAUCUGAGCCUGUCUAAAUGUGUCAUAGCCAUGAUAAAUUCUUAACUCUUCUAUGAAGUCCAGUGACGAGUUUUCUAGUAAGUGAAGAUUAGAGGCUAGACGAGUGAUAAGUGAAGUACAUCCUACUGGUCCCUGAAGACUAGGUAUACUAAGCCAAUGUGAAACUAAUAGUGUAACAGGUGAAGUGGGUACUUUACUAAUAGCAGCAUAUAAAAGUUGUAAAUCUCCUACUCUUACUUUCCUAAUAUCAUCGCGAUAGAAAAGAUUGUACCCAAGCCAUUUGUGAAAUAUCCUAAGAGUGGGGUGUUCCAUGUCACUGGUUCGGGCUUGACUGUAAAAAUUAUCUCUAGAUAUUUCUCUCCAAAACUAGUGUCUCUCAAAAAUGGGUAAAUCGGAGUCAAUGUUCAGGAUGCAUCUUGAAGAGAAACCAAGAUGGUCGCUCAGCUCUUUCCAACAUAACAUAAGUUCCUGUUUGAACAUCCGAAAAACAAUUCCCCCUCAUAGUAUUGUAAAGUGCAAAGAAAUUCGAGGGUGAGAAGACGAGAACCCAGCUCAGUUAUAUUCCAAAAAUUUGUCCAACCCAUCAUCUGAAAAAUUAAGUCGAAUUCAGUGUCCAUACCUGUUUCUCGUAGUAGGAUUGGAUCGAGAGUAGGGGUAUGAAUGAAAUCUUUGUUCUUCAGUUGCUGAUAGACUUCCUUCUCUCUUCGGGUCUUCAGUCCAAGGUCUCCUAUCUUAAGAAGGACCUUGACUUGCUGACCUGAUGAAGAUGAUGGAGCUUGUGUGGGUGUCGAGUCGACGCUCACUUCUGAUGGCUGUGAGGAGUGUCGGGCGGAACUCCUUGUACCAAUGUUCUUGAGAGCCUUCCCUGCAUUCUUCACCUUCUUAAACAUCCUGCAAAAGUUGGCAAAAACACAACUGGUGGAAAAUGUGAGAUAAAAUGUUAGUGGUCAGCUGUCUGGAGUGUCAGCAGUCCAGGGGUUAAUCGUUCAAGACAAGUUUCUAUUUUGAUAGAGCCUCCCCCUGAACAACUUUUAUUUCUGCUUGGACAGCGGGAUCACUACUUGCUAGGUGAUAAAUACUCUCUCAAAAGAUCUCCAACCUUCUCUUCCACUCUCCUCUUUCUCUCUACUCUCUUCUCUUCACUACAAGAACUCCUUCUCGGGAAACUGAAACUUGUGUGGUUUUAUGGAGUGUUUGUGUGAAGAGAAGGGGAGCUGGAGGUGGCCUUUUAUAGGAGGAAGGAGGGACAGGGCGGGCGCCCUUGGUAGGUGGGCGGGCGCCCUCUUAUGAUGCCCAUCCUGGGUGUGCCUCCUCCACUUGCUUCCUUGCUUUGAUCUCACGCAGAAUAAUGUUGUGUUGGUAGUGGUUGGACGGUGGAAAGAUGUCAGGUGAGUGGAAACAUAUUGGUGGAUGAAAUUAUGUGAUGGGAUGUAUGUGAGGUGAAGUGUAUGACAUGUGGGACCCAAAGAGUGCGGGUCCUGCUUCUAGAAGAUCAAUAUAAAUAAAUAUAAUGCAGGAAAAUCUAUGAGAGUUGAAACUUAAUGAAAAUGAUAUUGGAAAAUAUUUUUGUGCCUCCACAAUAAUUAAUAAAUAUGGGUUGUUACACACCACGAAUUUUAUUUAUAUGGGGCUUUUGAUUAUUAUAAUAAUGCUAUGAAUAAAUGUGACUAAUGCAAGAUUUAAUUAUGCAAGAAUUAAAUAUGAGAAAAUUAAUAAUGCAGAUAAAUACCGAUUUACCUCCCGGUGAGGGUUCGGGAUUUUUAGGUCCCCCAAGCUGGACCUCCAAAUCUUUUAAUCUUCUGAGUUACCUUCCUCCGGAGAUGGUGUCUCCAGUGGUUCUUCAUGAACUUCCUUCACUGUAGAGUCCCUUUCUAGUCUGGGUUUGAAUGUGAAGUGUUCUUCUUGACCGUUUAUGUUGAACUUGAUUUCUCCCUUCCCGACAUCAAUGUGGGCAUUGGCAGUGCUCAGAAAUGGCCUUCCAAGGAUGAUGGACACUUUCGAGUCAGGACUCAUGUCCAGUACUACGAAGUCUACUGGCACAAGGAAAUCUCUGAUCUUGACUGGAAUGUUCUCGGCGAUGCCCAACGGGUGUCGAACCGAUUGAUCCGCUAGUUGUAGGCACAUUGAUGUUGGUUCUAAGGUUGCAUGCUCAAGUUUUUUGUAGACUGAUGCUGGCAUCACACUGACACUUGCUCCGAGAUCACAAAGUGCAUUGUUGAAGUGUUGGUUUCCGAUCGAGCAAUCAAUAGUGGGGCAUCCUGGAUCUUCCUUCUUCUUUGGUGGUUUGUUGAGGAUGGCCGCACUACAUUCUUCUGUCAGCUUGAUAACCUCAGUGGUGGGCAGUGGUCUCUUCUUGUUAAGAAUAUCUCUGAUGUACUUUGCAUAUGUAGGUACCUGUAUGGCAUCGAGCAGAGGUAUGUUGACAUAUAAUUUCUGAAUGACCUCUACAAACUUACCAAACUGCUCAUCCGACUGCAGUCCUCUGUUUCUUCUGGGAAAUGGCAAAUAGUUGGUGUCGUAAAAAUCUUUCCUCAUUUCUCCAGUUCUUGGUGGUUGGAGCAGAUCUUCUGCUUCAACUGGGCUUUCUUCUUCUAUCACUGCUGGUUGCACUGGUGCUGAUAUUCUUUGUUUCGCUUUUGGGUAUGGUGGAUCUCUGGUGGCUUUUCCUCCUCUAGUAGUUAUAUUCUUUACCUUUGCUAUUGGGUUGACUCGAAGUUGGUUGAUAUUUGUAUGCUGUCUCAAUGGCCCUGUGAUCUUCUUUGAACUUGGCCCUCUGGUCAAUCCAAUGGAGCAAAUUCUCCAUCUUAGUUGAUAAUGCUUUUACUUCUUCUGGUAUUUCUUCAGUUUGAUGACAUUGUUGAGCUUUAUCUUGGAACCAGCUUUGAUUUUCUGUUAUCUUAUCCAAAAGUAUCUCUGCUUUUCCAGUUGUAAGCUCCAAGAAUGAUCCUUUAGCAGAUGCAUCUAGGCACUCACGAGCCUUCUGGGUUAAUCCAUGGUAGAAGGUCUGCAUAAGUAACCAUGUGGCCAAUCCAUGGUGAGGACAAUCUGAUAUGUAUCCUUGAAAACGCUCCCAUGCUUCUGAAAUGGCUUCUGUCUUCUGCUGUUGGAAACUGACAAUAUUUCUUCUUAAGGCAGUUGUUUUACCUAUAGGGAAAAACUUUGAUAGAAAGGCAUCUGACAAGUUCGUCCAGUUGUUGAUGUCAUCUUGAUGAGUGUAGAACCACUUCCUCGCUUUUCCUUCUAGUGAGAAUGGAAAGAGGCGAAGUAGUAUGACGUCUUUGUCAACUCCGUUGAUGUGGAUUGUGCUUCCAAUCUCUAAGAAAUUCUGCAAGUGUGCACUGGCAUCUUCAUGUGCCUUUCCACUAAAUUGUGUAGCUUGUACCAAAUUGAUGAGGCUUGACUUGAGCUCAAACUCGGGUAUUCCUUCUUCUACUGCAAAUCUUGGACCAGUUGGAAUGUUGUCAAGACUUGGAGCAGAGAAUUCUUGCAAGGUUUUUUGUGCCAUAGCUUCAGCAAUUGGUAGCUAGCUUCUUCUUCUCUUGAUUGCUUUGGUUCUGAUGAUGAAGAGUUGAAUGUACCCAAAGUCAAUCCUGUUAUACCCUGUAUAAAAAUAUAAACAUAGAAAAACAACAGGGUGAACCUGCCAAAGCAGCGGUGCCUUGUUAUGAUUUCUCACUUAGUAGCUGUUUUCUGCAAUUAUUUCUCUAUAGUCUAGUCUAAUGUUUUGUGUGAAUAAUCCUUGAUUGAUUUUCUGGCUUUCCUUAAUAUUACUCUUUUGUUCCCUUUUAUGACUUAUUCCUGAGACUCGUAUAAAUCCUAUAAGUCCCCGGCAACGGCGCUAGAAAUGCUUGUUGACACUAGCUAACACCACUUAGAUACUAGGUUGUCAUCCCUAGCAUGGCGCCAGAGUGUACAAAGGUAUUUAUAAAUGUAAAGGCUCUCUAGAAAAUAAUCUAUUCUAUCCGCAAGCGCACAGAUAAAACACCUCAUUGUAGCAUUUCACCAGGAUAAGUAUUCCAGGUAUCGUUAUUUAUAAUUUUGCUUAGGGGAUCUAAAGAAGAUGGAAUUAAAUCAAGGGACAAAAUCUAUCAAGGCAUAGACUAGAGAUAAACUUGCAAGAACAUGAUUACUAAUGAGAAACUCGUCACACAGUCACAUACUUUAGCAGGGGGUAAACCAUAAAGAUAAUGAUAAUAAAGUAUAAGUUCAUGGGAUAAAGAGCACAGCGAUUAGAAAAUAGACUACUCCUCAUAUAUGUAGGUGAUGUCGGAUUAGCUAGAGAAUGAAUUCUAGGUUAUCUACUAACUACUAAGUCAUAAUCUACUCUAGUUAUCUACAAGAUCAUAUAUAGCAUAAAAGACUCUUCAUUCAUGUAUAAGGAACAUUGAUAAAGUAAAUCAGAACAUCGCAUGACUUACUCCACAAUACCGGUUCUGCCUAUCCUAUCAACGGAGGGUGGACUAUAUAAGAAUCAACAAAGCUGUCACUAUCGCGACCUACCACACGACUCGGCCAAUAGGAUACAUUUGCAGAUAAAUAACAUCUAAGCACCACGCUCACAUGUAAUCUAUCACCUAACUCCCUCGCGUCAAGAGCUAAGCGCUUUGCAAACUUAUACAUAAACUCAUUAUCAAUUAGAACUAUAUCAAAUAUAGAACUAGAGCAAACUAAGAACAUAAUAAUUAGAGACAUAAUGCAAUU
RNAcentral lists this long non-coding RNA (7695 nucleotides) under Sorghum bicolor (sorghum). RNAcentral describes it as "long non-coding RNA (SBIC_LNC012910)". The stretch from base 6021 to 6128 matches the Rfam family "Plant small nucleolar RNA R71". Lineage: Eukaryota; Viridiplantae; Streptophyta; Magnoliopsida; Poales; Poaceae. The record is from RNAcentral.